CGCGUAGGCGGCCUGUUAAGUCUGGAGUGAAAGUCCUGCUUUCAAGGUGGGAAUUGCUUUGGAUACUGGCGGGCUGGAGUGCAGGAGAGGUUAGUGGAAUUCCCGGUGUAGCGGUGAAAUGCGUAGAGAUCGGGAGGAACACCAGUGGCGAAGGCGACUAACUGGACUGUAACUGACGCUGAGGCGCGAAAGUGUGGGGAGCAAACAGGAUUAGAUACCCUGGUAGUCCACACUGUAAACGAUGAAUGCUAGGUGUAGGGGGUAUCGACCCCUUCUGUGCCGGAGUAAACACAAUAAGCAUUCCGCCUGGGAGUACGGCCGCAAGGUUGAA
This 331-nucleotide ribosomal RNA is filed under the name uncultured bacterium. RNAcentral describes it as "bacterial SSU rRNA". It matches the Rfam family "Bacterial small subunit ribosomal RNA", at positions 568 to 898 of the family's 1533-position model. The record is from RNAcentral.